GCUCCCGUGUGUCUGUAUUUAUGGGCUUCUGAUGCCUUCCGAGUGCUUCCGAUGGCAUCGCCGGGACACCCUAGCGCAGACUUUUAAUCUUGGGGUCCUGGGUUCGAGCCCCAGCGGGCGCACCA
Molecule: transfer RNA, 125 nt
Filed under: Muricoccus pecuniae
Lineage: Bacteria; Pseudomonadati; Pseudomonadota; Alphaproteobacteria; Acetobacterales; Roseomonadaceae
Description: tRNA-Lys
Source: RNAcentral